Long non-coding RNA from Bufo bufo (common toad), 145 nucleotides. RefSeq lists it as uncharacterized. NCBI's taxonomy places the organism in Eukaryota, Metazoa, Chordata, Amphibia, Anura, Bufonidae. The record is from RefSeq and is a predicted model, not a curated record. The transcript is spliced from 3 exons.
ACCUUGAAGGGGUUGUUUCAUCAUAGACAAUGGGGGCAUAUCGCUAGGAUAUGACCCAAUUGUCUUAUAGGUGUGGGUCCCACCGCUGGGACCCACACCGAUAUCAAGAACAGAGCCCCACAACGGGGGAGCACGCACUGCGCAU